This 498-nucleotide ribosomal RNA is filed under the name uncultured bacterium. Its description in RNAcentral is "partial 16S ribosomal RNA". It matches the Rfam family "Bacterial small subunit ribosomal RNA", at positions 899 to 1397 of the family's 1533-position model. The record is from RNAcentral.
ACUCAAAUGAAUUGACGGGGGCCCGCACAAGCGGUGGAGCAUGUGGUUUAAUUCGAUGCAACGCGAAAAACCUUACCUGGGUUAGACAACGCAGGACAGCCGUAGAGAUACGGUUUCCCCUUCGGGGGCCUGCGGUUCAGGUGCUGCAUGGCUGUCGUCAGCUCGUAUCGUGAGAUGUCGGGUUAAGUCCCUUAACGAGCGCAACCCCUAUCCCUAGUUGCCACCAUUCAGUUGGGCACUCUAAGGAGACCGCCGGUGUUAAACCGGAGGAAGGUGGGGACGACGUCAAGUCCUCAUGGCCCUUAUAUCCAGGGCUACACACGUGCUACAAUGGCCAGUACAAAGGGUAGCCAACCCGCGAGGGGGAGCUAAUCUCAUAAAGCUGGUCUCAGUUCGGAUUGAAGUCUGCAACUCGACUUCAUGAAGCUGGAAUCGCUAGUAAUCGCGGAUCAGCACGCCGCGGUGAAUACGUUCCCGGGCCUUGCACACACCGCCCGU